CGCCUUUUGAAUUAUCAACAUAAAAGGUCCUGCCUGCCCAGUGACAUCUGUUUCAACGGCCGCGGUAUUAUGACCGUGCAAAGGUAGCGUAAUCACUUGUCUUUUAAAUAAGGACCAGUAUGAAUGGCAAAACGAAACCUAACUGUCUCCCUAAGUUAGUCAAUAAAAUUGAUCUUCCCGUGCAGAAGCGGGAAUUAUAAUAUAAGACGAGAAGACCCUGUGGAGCUUUAAACUUAAACUAACAAACUAUAAAUGUACUAGCACCAGGUUUUAGGUUGGGGCGACCAUGAGGUAUAACACAACCCUCAAGACGAAAACUAAGAAGGACACUUCAAAUAAAUAUUAAUAACGCAAUUGACCCAAUAAUUGAUCAACGAACCAAGUUACCCCAGGGAUAACAGCGCAAUCUACUCAAAGAGCCCUUAUCGACGAGCAGGUUUACGACCUCGAUGUUGGAUCAGGACCCCCAAAUAAUGCAACAGUUAUUAAAGGUUCGUUUGUUCAACGAUUAAAGUCCU
Molecule: ribosomal RNA, 518 nt
Filed under: Pseudoeurycea lineola
Lineage: Eukaryota; Metazoa; Chordata; Amphibia; Caudata; Plethodontidae
Description: partial 16S ribosomal RNA
Rfam family: Bacterial large subunit ribosomal RNA
Source: RNAcentral